UCGAUCAUAAGGUUCAAUCAUCUGUCAAUCAUGGAUAGGACGGUCAACAUCAUCAUUAGUAGUCGAAUCAUGAUCAACAGAUGGUAGGGGAUUAUCAGCAGACGAUAUGGAGGAAGAGGAGGGUAUAGAAAAUGGAUUUAAAGGUGUCCCAAGAAAUGCAGGUGUGGGAAGAAUAGUAGGGUUUGAUGUGGGUUGAACAACAAGGUUUGGUGCGAUAGAACAACAACGCCUGGUGAAGGAUGAAGAGGAGAGUUUAGAGUGGAAAGAGCAUGAGGGUUUGCAGCAUGUAAGGGCCCAACAUCUGGUGUAGUGAGGGCAUGUAGGUACGACACUGAUGUAGGAAUCCUUAUUAUAUACAGUGGUUUUCAUUUCCUCGUAGGUUUUCUUAUCGCCUUACCUUUAUAAAAAAGUGAUGCCUUAAAAAAUUGUUCUUUUCAAAAGCUUUGCAAAAUCUUUGAGUUUUCUUAAUCUCAAUAAAGCAAGUAAAAUGAAUCAAAAAUAAAAGAGAAAGGAGAUAAAAAUCAAGACAACGAUAUAUACUGGUUCGGCCAAGCCUACAUCCAGUCUUCCUUCAACAACCUUAGUUGAAGGGAUUCCACUAUAAUGAUAGAGUAUACAAGCAGAAUACAAAUAUAUCCUCUCUCAACUCUCCUUACCCACUCAAUAUCACUUAUAGCAACAAGAUGUGAACACCCUAACAAUCUUACAAAAACAGAGAAUAUACAAGUCUUAAUUGACUCAAAAUAAACUUUAAAUCCCAAGUUCCCACCCAAAAACACAUUCCUCUAGAAUUUCACUUAUCAAAACCCCCCACUAGUAGACUAUCCUUUUAAUCAAUACCUUAACCUUUUACUUACUCAUAUGUCCAACUGAAAAAUCACCAUUUAUUCCUAAAUCUCAACCAAUCAGACUAGUAAUUACCAUUUAAGUUUAACAAGAGACUCCCUCUAACUUUUUCAUUUUAAACUAGGAGAUUUUCAAUAAUCUAAGAAGUUAAACAAGUCACAAAUGAAUAAAAAACAAAACCUAAACAUUCAACUUUUUCCCGAAAUAAAUCUUUUAGAUUUUCACAUGUCAAAACCUCCCAAAUAGACCAUAAAUCAGUCCAAACUCAACAUAUUGACUACAUUAAAGAGUAAAGCAUAUUUCAACCAAUUAAGUCUUAAACACAUCAACUCAAGUGAUCAAACAUGCAAUAUUUAACAAGGACUCGCAAUAGGAAUUUUCAAAGAACACAUAUUCACUCAAAAUACAUGAAGUCAGGCUACCAAAUAGAGAUAUUUCAGCAAGUUCAUAUUCAACCAUUUCAUAUACAACUUCAUAAAUUCCAAAGCAAAACAAGCAUGCAACACAAUUGAUUUAAACAUUUUCAAUAUUAAACACGGAAAAUUAGCUUCCCUUACCUUACAUAGGACCCACCUGCUCUACAAGAACUAAGACGACUCUACAACUCAAGGAACUCAACUCACAUAAACAUGAUCAGGGUAUACUAUUAGAACAACUAAUCAGCAUAGAGUCUUAUAGAAGACUCGAAUGACACAUGCAAAAACACUAUGGCUCGUAUACAAAGGAAACAAGAC
This 1580-nucleotide long non-coding RNA is filed under the name Vigna radiata. RNAcentral describes it as "long non-coding RNA (VRAD_LNC003502)". Lineage: Eukaryota; Viridiplantae; Streptophyta; Magnoliopsida; Fabales; Fabaceae. The record is from RNAcentral.